AGAGUUUGAUCAUGGCUCAGAUUGAACGCUGGCGGCAUGCUUAAUACAUGCAAGUCGAACGGUAACAGAUUCUUCGGAAUGCUGACGAGUGGCGGACGGGUGAGUAAUACAUAGGAAUCUGCCCAUGUAGUGGGGGACAACUUGGGGAAACUCAAGCUAAUACCGCAUAAUUCCUACGGGAUAAAGAGGGCCACUGCUUGCAAGCUCUUGCUACUGGAUGAGCCUAUGUCGGAUUAGUUAGUUGGUAAGGUAAUGGCUUACCAAGACAGCGAUCCGUAGCUGGUUUGAGAGGAUGACCAGCCACACUGGGACUGAGACACGGCCCAGACUCCUACGGGAGGCAGCAGUAGGGAGUAUUGGACAAUGGGCGCAAGCCUGAUCCAGCAAUGCCGCGUGUGUGAAGAAGGCCUGCGGGUUGUAAAGCACUUUCAAUUGGGAAGAAAGAUUAUGAGUUAAUACCUUAUAAUAUUGACG
RNAcentral lists this ribosomal RNA (474 nucleotides) under uncultured bacterium. RNAcentral's name for it is "bacterial SSU rRNA". It matches the Rfam family "Bacterial small subunit ribosomal RNA", at positions 8 to 474 of the family's 1533-position model. The record is from RNAcentral.